UACGUAGGGUGCAACGUUGUCCGGAAUUAUUGGGCGUAAAGAGCUCGUAGGCGGUUUGUUGCGUCGGCUGUGAAAUCCCGAGGCUCAACCUCGGGUCUGCAGUCGAUACGAGCAAACUAGAGUGUUGCAGGGAGACUGGAAUUCCCUGGUGUAGCGGUGGAAUGCGCAGAUAUCAGGAGGAACACCGAUGGCGAAGGCAGGUCUCUGGCCUUACCUGACGCUGAGGAGCGAAAGCGUGGUAGCGAACAGG
RNAcentral lists this ribosomal RNA (250 nucleotides) under uncultured bacterium. RNAcentral describes it as "partial 16S ribosomal RNA". It matches the Rfam family "Bacterial small subunit ribosomal RNA", at positions 524 to 776 of the family's 1533-position model. The record is from RNAcentral.